GAUGAAGAACGCAGCGAAAUGCGAUACGUAGUGUGAAUUGCAGAAUUCAGUGAAUCAUCGAAUCUUUGAACGCACAUUGCACCUCUCGGUAUUCCGGGAGGUAUGCCUGUUCGAGCGUCAUUUGUACCCUCAAGCUCUGCGUGGUGUUGGGUGUUUGUUCCGCCUCUGUGUGUGAACUCGCCUCAAAACAAUUGGCAGCCGGCGUACUUGUUUCGGAGCGCAGCACAUUUUGCGAUCCAGAUCAACGUACAGCGGCAUCCAAGAAGCCUUAUUUAACGCUCUUGACCUCGGAUCAGGUAGGGAUACCCGCUGAACUUAAGCAUAUCAAUAAGCGGAGGA
Molecule: unclassified non-coding RNA, 339 nt
Filed under: soil metagenome
Description: partial contains 5.8S ribosomal RNA, internal transcribed spacer 2, and large subunit ribosomal RNA
Rfam family: 5.8S ribosomal RNA (bases 1-120)
Source: RNAcentral